Molecule: ribosomal RNA, 469 nt
Filed under: uncultured bacterium
Lineage: Bacteria
Description: partial 16S ribosomal RNA
Rfam family: Bacterial small subunit ribosomal RNA
Source: RNAcentral
GAUGAACGCUGGCGGCGUGCUUAACACAUGCAAGUCGAACGGUGAACACGGAGCUUGCUCUGUGGGAUCAGUGGCGAACGGGUGAGUAACACGUGAGCAACCUGCCCCUGACUCUGGGAUAAGCGCUGGAAACGGCGUCUAAUACUGGAUAUGUGACGUGACCGCAUGGUCUGCGGUUGGAAAGAUUUUUCGGUUGGGGAUGGGCUCGCGGCCUAUCAGCUUGUUGGUGUGGUAAUGGCUCACCAAGGCGUCGACGGGUAGUCGGCCUGAGAGGGUGACCGGCCACACUGGGACUGAGACACGGCCCAGACUCCUACGGGAGGCAGCAGUGGGGAAUAUUGCACAAUGGGCGCAAGCCUGAUGCAGCAACGCCGCGUGAGGGAUGACGGCCUUCGGGUUGUAAACCUCUUUUAGCAGGGAAGAAGCGAAAGUGACGGUACCUGCAGAAAAAGCGCCGGCUAACUACGUG